CAGAGGGCUGGUGUGCAAUGUGGCGUUUCAGCAGGCUGGUGUGGUGCAUGCCAUAGGAAGAGAAGGGCACUGCUGGAGACCUGCCAGGAAAAAUGAAUGGAAAUACUCAAUCUGCCUCUGGCACUGCAGUCAUUACCUGGGAGUCGGGGAAGGGAUGGCUCCCCCAGGAUUUGAAGAAGGUGGAGGAAGGACACUUCCUUCUGUGGGCAGGAAACACUUCAGGUACGUGUCCACCAGGAUGAAAUAAGCACUGUUGGAAGGGCUGACGUGGUGGGUGACAGGCGAGUUCUGUAACAGAGGCAGGGAAUGCUGGGGGUUAUACACUGUGGCCUGCCCAGGGCUGGGGAGUGAUGCUGCACAGCCAGACACAUUCAGCAGGAAUAAGCAGGAGCCCUGAGGUUGUAAAGGGUGAAUUGACAGCAAAGACACUUCUGAGUAAAGGUAAAGCGAGGAGCUGUAAGACAACUGUUGCUGUGGCAGUGAAUGUAACCAAGUAGAAGAGAGCAGAGAUAUCUAGCACAGGUAACAACAGGCAGAGGAACCAAAUAACCACACACACAGCACCAAGCCAUGGUUAUGACUGUACAGAAGGUCUGAUCUGACACAGGGGUAGGAAAACCACUUGGAAUCCACUGCCUGCUCCUUGUUGGUUGGACAGAGUGCUUACUGGUGUAUCUAAGGUGGGUGUUUUGUUUAUUAUCUUGGAUCAUCAACUGAACCAAAGCAGUAACAAAUUCCAAAAGAACAGAUAAAACUGCUGCUAAUUUAGCUUCAAGCACCUCAGGAAGCUCUUGUAGCACUGUGAAGAAAGGCUAAUACUCUUUUAAGGGAAAAAUUGCUACAGGUACUUACCUUCUGUGUAAUCAAACUAAUUGCAAAGUAAAACAUGUAAUAUUCAAAGGGGUCUGGAAGAACAGAGUCAAGGAUCAGAUAAUAAAAAACAGGCACAACUAUUAGAUACUGGGGGAUGCUAAACAGUCAUUAAGUUUUUAUUUUGUCAAUACUAAAUUACCUUGCUAGAGCUUAACAGCAAAUUCAGCUUUGCUUUCUUGCUUUCCAGCUGACUCAAACUUUGGCAGUUGAGGUGUUCUCUGUGUGACAAGGUGUGUUUGCAUUACUUUUAGCACAUUUGACUAUCUCAAACUGAAACCAGCACAGCUACAGUGCUUCCGACAAGUCUGCUGGCUGCAAAGUGAACAUGCCCUUUUCCUACCACAUUGCAUAAACUGUGAGUAGUUACAAAAACAAAAAUUGUGAAAUACAGGCUCAACUGAAAACACUAGGAAUUUGUUGUUGACUUGAUUGAGGCCAGAAAUUCCCCCAACAAGGGUUUACAAGAAGAGGACAACUUUAUUUUUCAUCGUUAUCUAAAUAUUUCUAAUUAGCCCAAACUCUUUAGCACAACCAUGAUUUACCACACACACAUAAUAAAUAUACAACAGAAACACUCGUGACCUUUCAAUUUUAGAUAUUUAAACAGAAGUAAAUAUCCAACAGUUAAAAGGAUACUAAGAGCCAAAUUCAAGCCUAAACCACCAGAUGAAGGAAACUGGACUUUGUUGUGGUAUAAAGAACAUUCUGGCAGAACUUGCUCUUGUAUUGAAGCCUUCACAGGGCCCUGAAAGACAGAGUAAUGAAAUAUUAAUCUGGCUACUCAGCAUACUGCAGAGUAUGUUUUCAGAUAGUGAGGCUCUGCAUUCCAGCAUUCUGGGAUGAUCUCUACAUUCAGCUCAGUGGGAUUUUAUUGCACUGCAAUAGUUCCUUCCGCAAAUGCAAAGUCUUUAGAGAACUCUCAACUUUCUCAUUGAAAAGAAUAUUCAGUAUUUUUUUAAUUCAAUAUAUUUUUAAAAAACCUUCACCAUGACUUUUCCAGUUGGAGUGGGAGCAGCAGAGGACUGGUGUUUGGAUGAUGGUUUUGUCUUGGUAACUGAGCUGUGGACCAGCAAUUACCAUCUACUUAAAUGAUGUUUCCUUUUGUGAAAGACUGUAGAACUACCUGAAUUCCUAGACAGCAUGCAGCUGGUAGCAGUGGAAGAAACAUAGUGAAACAACUCUGCAGAUGAACAUCUUUCUUUGAAAUGUGAUACUUCACAUCCAGGAUGGCAGUGAGACUUCAAACCCGUGGGUACAAAGCUUAGCCAGGGAAGUCACUGCUCUGUGACGAGCUUGGAAAACUAUUUUCAGUCCUGCAACUACUGGUAACCACACGGCUUUCUCUGGGGACAGGGUGAGAAUCACAUUGCAGCUCAAAUAUCCAGCUGCUGACAACCACAAUCUCCAACAGAGUUUACGGCUGGGAACUCUCCUCCUCCAGAGGAGGAAAGGAAACAGGCCUACUCUAACUCUGGAGCACUGAGGCUACACCGUGGCCUAUACUGAAUCACAGGCAUGCAAAGUUUCAACAGCUGCAACAACAACUACCUUCUCUUCUUACAAAGUGUUCAGUUACUCACUGGAAGAUAAGAGACUGGGAAAUCAUAUCUGUACUCUUCUGCUUGGAGUUUGUAAACCAGCUUCAUCAUCGGGCCACUGCAAACAAGCAUCAGAGAGAAAACCCGUGGUGAGUACCCUCUCCUGUCUCACUUCUGUGAAUUAUGGACAGUGGAAAAAAGGUCAAACACUAGUUUUUUGUUCAAUGAUUCAUUUUUUAAUCCGUGCUGAAAUGAAUGAGUUUACCUGGGAUCCAGGAAAUCCAAAGCCACAGAGUAUUCGUUAGGAUUUGUUCUUCCUUGCAAACAGCGAAGGUUCCAGCCCACGAUGAUGCCAUCCAGGCUACCAAAAAUGCUCUCCACCAGCCAUGGGAAGAUGCCAUGUAGUUCCUUUAGGGAAAACAGACACAAGGAGUUAAUGUGCACGAUCCCUCACAGGGACAAUCUCUGCUGCAUAUAUCAGAAUGCAUAAAGAUACUGUCUGCCAGCUAUUUAUGACUGUUUCCAGGCUGUCACUGGCCAAAGCUUCCAUUCAAAACAUUGCAUUGCAGUAUGGCAAUUAUGGGAGAUCUAUCCUGAUUUCUGAUCCUACUGAAUUUGCUGUGAUGCUCCUCAGCACCACAUGCAGUUAUUUGUUACAUUUUAAAAACUAGUUUCCCUCCUAAACUGAGGCUGAAAGGUAUUAAUGAAGUGCAGUCAACUGAAACAAUCUUUUAAUGGCUAGAAAAGGUUUUUAACUCUUGGAAACACUGGAUUUCCACUGUUCUAAAAACUCAGAAUCACAGAAUCAACGAGGAUGGAAAAGAACUCUGAGAUCAUCGAGUCCAAGCUGUGACCCAACACCACCGUGUCAACUAGAUCAGGGCACUCAGUGCCACGUCCAGUCUUUCCUUAAACACCUCCAGGGACGGUGACUCCACCACUGCCCUGGGAAGCCCGUUCCGAACAGAUUCCAGCUUAUCUUGAUAAGAGAAACAGGGACAAAGAAAAUAGCAAUAUGACAAAACCAAAUCCCCCUGAAACCUGCCGGGCAGGGAGGUCCUGAGAAGGCAGCGGCCGCUCACCUUGGCGGGGAGCUCCUCGAUGACGGUCUCCAGGUCGUGGCACCGCUGCGCAAACGGUUUGUUUACACAGUCCGCCUUCAGCGUGGCCUGUUACAAAUCACGAGGGAAACUCGAUCAGAAGGGACAACUCUUACCUUGGCCAUGGUGUAAAACAAAAACAAAGCCCCGCCCGGCCGCUCCCCCGGUAUCCUUUCAGCCGACACCCGAACCCACCGCCCGGCCCGCGGGACCGCACAGGGGUGGCGCAGGGGCACCGGACACCCGCCCGCCCCCGGCACACGUACCAGCAGGAAGCUGGGCUGCUGCAGGUGCGGUCCGGCCAUUCCUCCUCCUCCAGUCCCGCCGCGGCCGCAGCGGGAUCGGGAUCGGGAUCGGGACUGGGAUCGGGAUCGAAGCCCACUGUCCCCCGGCCGCCUCCCGCGCUCGGCGCCCGCGCGCCCCUUUUGCGUCACGGCGCAGGCAGGUGACAUCACCGCGAGGUUGCCAUGGUGACGGGGCAGCGUCCUGUCCCCAACAUGGCCGCGCUGAGCGCCCCGGGCUCAGCCCCUUCGUAGAGUCAUAGAAUGUGCCGAGUUGGGAGGGACCCACCAGGACCAUCGAGCCUAAGUCCUGGCCCCGCGCCGGACACCCCAAGAAUCCCACCAUGUCCCUGAGAGCGUUGUCCAAAUGCCUCUUGAACUCUGUCAGGCUUGAUGCUGUGACCGCUGCCCUGCGGAGCUUGUUCAGUGCCCAACCACCCUCUGGGUGACAAACCUGUUCCUCGUAUCCAAUCUAAACCUCAGCUUCAUGCAGUUUCCUCUAGUCCUGUCAGUAGUCACCAGAGAGAUCUGUACCUGCCCCUCCAUUGCCCCUCGGGAGGAUGCUGAAGACCCCAGUGGUGAAGACCUCCAGUUUAACAGGAUUAUUUACCAGCCUAAAAUGAUUCAAUAUUUACAUAAACGUUUACAGAAUCAAAGUUAAA
This is a long non-coding RNA of Pseudopipra pipra, 4454 nucleotides long. RefSeq lists it as uncharacterized. The transcript has 2 exons. The record is from RefSeq and is a predicted model, not a curated record. Lineage: Eukaryota; Metazoa; Chordata; Aves; Passeriformes; Pipridae.